UUGCUGAUUGGCGGCGACGUCAUCGGCCGGCGCCGGCUCGGGAGCGGGAGCGGAGCGCCGCGGAGCGGGGCGGCGCGAGGGCUGGGGCCGCAGCCCGUCCUCGCCAUGUCCUCGGAGCGGCGGCCGGGCGCGGGCCGCGGCGGCGGCGAGGGCAUCAAGUUAUCAGCAGAGGUCAAACCGUUUGUUCCCAAACAUGCGGCGGUAACUGUGGCAUGGUCAGAACCCUCAGCAACAUGUGUCUUUCCUAGGUACUUAACUACAUGCUACCCAUUUGUUCAGGAACCAGCUUUGGAUAACAUUGUGGGAGAUCCUACGCUCGGUGAAUACUCCAGCUGCUCUUAUUCGCCUGAUGUUUCAAGUGUAUAUCCAGUACCAAGCUCACAAUAUCAUUCUAACAACUCUACAUACUAUAAUAGUUCUGGAAGAGUCAGUGAAUCUGCUGAACGAACAUAUCCAGUCAGACCAGAAAGUAGGAACGUUUCAAAGCAGAGGAGGUCGAAAGAGGGUGAGAAAAAAUUAGACAAGAAAAGGCAUGAUGGAGAUGACUCUUCCGGCAGAAUUGUGAACAGGACUUCUUUCCAGACCUCUGCAUGCAGCAGAGAUUCCAUGAAACCAGACAGGUUCAAUAAAGUGACAAACAAGAAGUCAACACAAACUCCAAAAAGAGAGAGUCUUCCUGUACCUGCUGUGGAAGCUCCUGCUUUGGAUUUCUCCAAGUCACAGAGUUUGGGAAGCAGUGAGGUAUUGGAUGUACAGUGUAGAAGCAGAUCAGUAUGUUCAGCGGAAAAUAAUGUUACGUGCCUUAGUCAACCACUGAAGACACAGAUGUCUCCUUUGUUCAACACAGAGGAAGAUGUUUCUAUGCAAAGCAAAGCUCCAUCAAAAACUUUAGAUGAAACAGUAGCCAGCUUAAUUCCCUCUUCAUUUGAUGGUAGAGCGCUUCCUCAAACAUCCGCAGAUGGUUCUGCUCAGGCACAUGUGUCUUGGGCCAUGGUUCUUUCACAGCCUCCAAAGAAAACUGUGUCAUCACCAGCAUCUGAAGGUCUUUCCAGAAGCAAAGGGAAGCAGGAUAGUCAGGGAAAGUCAGAAACAAGAAAUGAUGCCAGUGAAACUGAGCCUGAAGAAGGGUCGGAAAAGAAGAAAAAGAAGAAGAAAAAGAAAAAGAAACCUAAAUCAUCCACUGAAGUAGAGAAGCCUCAAAAUGAAACUACUACAGUACAGGAACCACCAAGGAUUGAGGAUGCUGAAGAAUUUCCUGAUCUGGCAGCUGCUUCUGAUAGGAGAAACAGACUAGGAUCUCAGAAGUCAUCAUUUUCUCCUGCUGUCAGAAAGCAGUCUGAAGUCGAUCUGCCCGAAGAGUCCUGUGAUAGUCGUUCUCCCAAGCUGGAUGGAAUGCCCAAGGUGGAUGGAAUAUCAGGGAAGCAAACUACAUCUGUUGCAUUAGAAAGAAAGAAAAUGCAGGAAACAUCCAAGAGCAGUGGUAAGAAGAGUCAAAUUCCUGUGCAGUUGGAUUUGGGUGGCAUGUUGGCAGUCUUGGAGCAGAAGCAGCAAACAGGGAAGUCAAAACAGUCUUCUAAACCUGUGGUGUUUUCAGUUGGUGGUGCCAUACCAUUGCUUUCUAAAGAACCUGCUGCAGCAACAAAAAAUCACCGGUUAAACCAAGGAAAGAUGCCUCAUAACCCUUUGGAUUCCAGCGCUCCUUUGGUAAAGAAAGGGAAGCAGAGAGAAGUCCCUAAAGCAAAGAGACCAACACCUCUUAAAAAGAUUAUUUUAAAAGAGAGAGAACAACGAAAACAGCAGCACCUGUUAGAACAGACAGCAAUACCAAAAGAUGGUGAUAACAUUUGUCAGACUGUAGAAAAUACUACUGAAGAUGAAGCACUUCCACAGGAUAGCGAAGCAGCUGUUCCUGUAAUGCAAGUUGCUGUGGCUCAGAGUAACUUUGAAGGGUUGCCGGAGGGCCAAGGAAUCAAGGAUUCUACAGAAAGCUCUACAGCUUCAAAGCAGCUAAACUCCAGUCUUCCAAAAAUCCACAGUAGGAGAUUUAGAGAUUAUUGCAGCCAGGUGCUUAGUAAAGAAGUUGACAGUUGUGUGACAGAUCUCUUAAAAGAACUGGUUCGUUUCCAAGAUCGCUUGUAUCAGAAAGACCCAGUAAAGGCCAAGAUAAAACGUCGGCUUGUUAUGGGACUUAGAGAAGUUUUGAAACAUCUGAGGCUGAAAAAGCUGAAGUGUGUCAUCAUCUCUCCUAACUGUGAAAAGAUUCAGUCAAAGGGUGGGUUGGAUGAGACCCUACACAACAUUAUCGACUGUGCCUGUGAACAAAAUAUCCCGUUUGUCUUUGCCCUUAAUCGCAAGGCUCUAGGCCGCUGUGUGAAUAAAGCAGUGCCUGUGAGUGUGGUGGGAAUUUUUAGCUAUGAUGGGGCUCAGGACCAUUUUCACAGAAUGGUACAGCUGACCACAGAGGCCAGGAAGGCAUACAAAGAUAUGAUAGCAGCUUUAGAGGAAGAAGCUGAAGGAGGACUAAGUGAAAAACCCUCCAGCAUCUUAACUACUGAAUACGGAAAAAGUGGCUUAUCAGAAACCAGUAAAACAUCUUCCAGAGACUCUGAUGAGGAUGUACCAAAUUAUAUUAAAAUCUGGAAAAAAAAGCUUGAAGAGGAGUAUAACCCAUAUGCCCUGGAACUGGAAAAGAGUGCAACCACUGACAUGCUGGCGUUGAAUUCAGAAGAGCAGCAGUAAAUCCAGAUUCAAUUCUGUGGGGCUUUAAGAUUAAGAAUGUGUGAAGAAGCCUUAUUGCCAGAACCGAUUGGCCCACACGUGUUCAAAGAAACAAGGAUUAGAAAAAAGCCUGUGAUCUGCUUAAUUACAGCUGAAAUGACUGGCAUCAGAUAACCAGAGAUGGUUCCAACAUGGGAUAGGUGGCCUUUCUUGUGGCAAGUAAGUUAUUCUUCGGUGCACUGAGGAAAUCCUGUUCCAUCUAAAGCUUCAGCUGAUUCUCCUGAGUAUCAACCCCAAUGCAAGUGCUAGUGCUGGCAAAUACCUCUUUGAAUGCAAUGAUACUAGAGUACUGGGCAUUCCAACCCACAUACAUUUCUUAUCCUGGCCUGUUCAUUCCUUUGUCCAUUAGAGGGUGUUUUUCUUGUUGCAGCUCUCCUGAAGGAGAAAAAGUUCAGAACAAAGUGUUAAUACAGGUUUAAAAUAAAAUGUUUUUUUAAAGGUGGCCUAUACUAUCUAUUCCACAUGCAACAAGUACUCAUCAUAUCCGGAAGAUACCAAAAGUAAUCUCUGUUUUAACUCUUGGAGAAAAACAUUGAAAGCAACAUACAGUUUUUUGGGUUUUUUUGUUUUUAAAGAAAGGCCAGCAUUGAUAGACAACACCAGUUAUGAAGUCUGAUAGUCUCUGCAACCCAAUUAAAGUUGUACAGAUGCAGUCAAAUGAAUCUACUAUGUUCAGUACAUGCAGUCUCACCCUUUUCGGCAGGAUGAUUUAUUUCUUACUGAUUUAGCUCUUGGUAAGUGGACAGAAGGAGGAAGCUGACAUAAUGGUAAUAUACAGAAUAAAUGAAAUAGGUCUUACUGUUCAGAGGGUCCAUCCAGAAUGACAACAUGCACAGGAACACUGAUCACUGAUUAUAAAAUUAGACUGUAGUGUGUUAUGUAGAGAGCACAGUAUGAGGUAUGUAUUCCAAAAAUUCUUACCCAUGUCUUCUUCCAGUUUUGCAUCAUCUUGUCAUGUUCACUGAUGGCAGUUCUCCAGCUAUCAAAUUCUUUGGUCCAUCCAUCCUGACCAGCACUAUCUGAAAAUUGUAAACGGAAUGAUUAUGUAACUAAGUAAUAAUUAAGUAGAUCUAUUCAAUUGCACUAAUUCUCAUAAACGGUAGGGCUUGAAGGAACAGAAGCCACACCAUCUUGUCCUCUGUUCUGCUCUACCUCUUCUCAAGUUAAUUGGAAAUAACCUCUAUUCAAACGGUCACGUCUUUCCCCUUUGCAGCAGACCUUCUAACCUCCAGAGCAAACAGCUUUGGUGCCUUUAAUCUGUGUGUCAAGGUCUGGAAGAUAUGACCUACCAGUUAGAAGAGCUAAAUCCAUCUAGAAGCACAGGAACAUUGCAGUUAGAUGAUAUCAAGGCCGGGGAGAGGAAUGACAAUGACAUGAUGCUGCUGACUAUGUUAAGUUUGUAAUUUCCCCCUUUUUUGAUAAUGUUAUGUAGCUAUUUAUUCUUCAUUUAAGAAUUUUAAAAAGCUGUUUUACUGCAUCUUAACUUGGCAAAAGUUUUAGUUCUAAUCCUGUUUGCCAGCUUUUUUUAUAGUCCCUACUACUGUAGUGGUGGCAUACACAGAUUUAAUAAAUAUUUUCUAUUUAUUCAAGACACUAGUGACAAUAUAGAAUCUUUUGGACCACAGUGAAAGCAGCCCACUGUUUCACACUUACUUACAGUAGUUUCACUGAGAUGCUUUUUUCUGCUUCUGAGACUAACUUUAAAAUGACUGGACUGCUUGCAAGAAACUAUAUGACUUCCUUUGCUGCUUUCUUUUAUCGCCGAAAAAAGCUGGGAUGAGCUGCUCUUGAAAAUUUCACAUUUGAUAUUGACCAGCUAAUUACAAAUAAUUCAUUUUUUUUCCUCCGGAAAAUACACUCUAUCAAUCAAUCACAUUCAUUCCUCCUCCUCUCUUUUUAAAGACUACUUAUACCCUUCUCCAGGUCUAAGUUCUCAAACACUAGCUGCAAAGAGUGCUGACGUUGCUUUGGUCAGUUCUGGGUACCUAAAGAUGAAUUUAUCUUGUCCAGGUGCUCAAGUCAGCUUGCUGACUUCCUGCCCAUUAGUAUCAAAAUGGAGACGUAAAAACUGUCCCCAUCUGGCUACAGAUGAUUUAAAAAUCAUCUGAUUUUCUUUAAAUGGAGAGGGAGGGCUGUCUCUAUUAUUUGACUUCCUUGGCAUUAAAGAAUUUUACUUUGUUACCCAGUAUAGUUCUUGCAAAGUAUUAUUCCUUUAUAAUCCUCCCUAAUACUCACCUGAUUUCCAAUACAUGUCUGUUAGUUUUGUUUGAGAUGAAAAAAAGAGCUUAUGAUUUGCCUCAGAUGUACUUAGUCUCCUAAGUUUCUGCAAGACUUUUGUAAGAUGUAGCAGUUACCAUUUCAUUUCUAGAUCAUAACUGCUAAUUUGCAGGUUAGUUCUUUGGGGGAGGGGGGAAAAAAUCAAUUUUUAUGGCUGUAAAAGCUUUUCAUAAACACUUGAAGUGGGUACCUCUCCACCUAUGUAUGUGUUUUAUGGGUGAAAUAAUUACAGAGCUCUCCUUGUAUCAGGGUCAGGACAAACAGGGCAUACAUUCAGCACCAGCCUACCUUUAUCUUCCACUCUGAUGAGCACUUCUGAUGUUGCAUUCCCAACUUUUGAGACAACUGAGCAUUUAUAUUCUGUACUUUCUGAUACUGAAUCUUUCAACCAGCUUAGAAUAUGCAGUCUGCCAUCAGCCAGCAUAUGAGAUUGCUCCAUGAUGCACACCUUCAUCUUUUCUCCAUUCUUCUUCCAGACCAAAUGGGAAUCAUCUGGACCUGUAAAAACAUCAGUCAGCUUAUGUUGGGAAAAUUACUAAGAAAAGUCUUUGAAUAGAAAAAUGAAAGACUAAGACUAAGAUUAGACUUAAAGGUCAAUUGUAAUGUUUCUUAGGUUUCUUUAACUGAAAUGCUGGGUACCAAAAAGCUGAGAUAAAAAAGAGCUAACAUUGAUAAUGAGGUUCAAGCGAAAGUUGUAAAUGAGCUCUUAGAAAGGAAGCAUCUGAUUUACACAAGUGGGAACUUACCUCGCAAACAUGAUAGACAAGAUAAUGAAAUCAGCACUAUCUGCCUCUGUGAUUACCUACAAAACUAGGUAAAGCUACCUAGUACUUGACUGAGCUAUGGAACAAAGUUGAGACCAUCUGAGACACGCAUUGUAAAAUCUGAAAUAAGGGACAGGAGGGAAAAAAGUUCAAGAACGCAGCACAUCAAAGAUGCUGGAACUAAUGAAGCAAAGUUGGAAAAAGCACAGAAUCAUUAGUCACAGCAAUUAGGCAAGACAGAACUUGGAAGAAGCUUGGAUUAACAACAAAGAGCAAUGUAAUCUUUUAGCCUUAUUGCUAUUAUUCAUCUCACCUGUGAGGAUGGAAUUUGAAUAAAUCAGAGAUUGACAGUAGCCCAGAGGACAGAACAGCUGUUCCCAGAAAAUUAGCAAGGUUGGCUGAAGUGUAUUUGGCAACAUCAGAGUUUUUUCAUUUAAAAGAAAAACAUCUGGGCCAAAGUAAGGACUUUGCCAUAAUACUGACUUUUAAAACAUGUCUGUUACUCCCUUGGGUGUUUAUGAUCCAGACUAGACUUAGCAAGAGAAGAUGUAAAAUUCAGAGUUGAGAGAAAAAGGAUUUUUGCAAGUAUGGCCUGAGGGAACAGGUAACUUACUACAGAAACUAGCUUUAACUAUGAGUAUUUUUGACUGCAAAUUGAUGUGGCAUUUUUCUGUAGAAAAAAUAUUUGAUUCUAGGUCUGUCCCCUGAAAACUGCAUCUACUUUAGAUCAUCAUGCAAGCAGACCAAGAAAAAGGAAGGUAGUCUUUUUAUCUGUGCACGUUCUCAAUGUAAAUUAAUCUGUUAAUCUGUCUUAAUCUGUUUGGAAAUAAAACUAAUACCCUACAAUCUGAAAUAAAAUAGUACUAAGAGCAA
Dromaius novaehollandiae (emu) is the source of this 6692-nucleotide RNA transcript. It is a transcript of the gene named selenocysteine insertion sequence-binding protein 2, with no coding region annotated. The record is from RefSeq and is a predicted model, not a curated record. The transcript is spliced from 20 exons. Lineage: Eukaryota; Metazoa; Chordata; Aves; Casuariiformes; Dromaiidae.